RNAcentral lists this ribosomal RNA (376 nucleotides) under uncultured bacterium. Its description in RNAcentral is "bacterial SSU rRNA". It matches the Rfam family "Bacterial small subunit ribosomal RNA", at positions 524 to 898 of the family's 1533-position model. The record is from RNAcentral.
UACGGAGGUUCCAAGCGUUGUUCGGAAUUACUGGGCGUAAAGGGAGCGCAGGCGGGCAAGUCAGUCUGAAGUGAAAUCCCGGGGCUCAACCUCGGACUUGCUUCGGAUACUGCUUGUCUUGAGUUCGUGAUAGGAAGACGGAAUUCAGGGUGUAGCGGUGGAAUGCACAGAUAUCCUGAGGAACACCGGUGGCGAAAGCGGUCUUCUGGCGCGAAACUGACGCUGAGGCUCGAAAGCGUGGGUAGCAAACGGGAUUAGAUACCCCGGUAGUCCACGCCGUAAACGUUGUGUACUAGGUGUAGGAGGUAUCGACCCCUUCUGUGCCGCAGUUAACACAAUAAGUAUUCCACCUGGGGAGUACGACCGCAAGGUUGAA